CAAUAGCGUAUAUUAAAGUUGUUGCAGUUAAAAAGCUCGUAGUUGGAUUUCUGGAUCGAACGCUUCGUCCGCCGCUGUGCGGUGUGUACUGAGGUUUUGUUUCGAUUCAUCCUUGCAGGGAAGCGAGUUCGAGAUUAAUUUGUCGGCUCGGGGAACUGCAUCUUUUACUGUGAAAAAAUUAGAGUGUUUAAAGCAGGCAUUUUGCCGUGAAUACAUUAGCAUGGAAUAAUAACAUAGGACUUUGGUUCUAUUUUGUUGGUUGGAGGCCAAGGUAAUGAUUAAUAGGGACAGUUGGGGGUAUUCAUAUUUAAUUGUCAGAGGUGAAAUUCUUGGAUUUAUGAAAGAUGAACUCAUGCGAAAGCAUUUACCAAGGAUGUUUUCAUUAA
RNAcentral lists this ribosomal RNA (386 nucleotides) under uncultured eukaryote. Its description in RNAcentral is "partial 18S ribosomal RNA". It matches the Rfam family "Eukaryotic small subunit ribosomal RNA", at positions 592 to 976 of the family's 1831-position model. The record is from RNAcentral.